ACCUGCUUCUGGUCUCAAUAUAAAUAUGGCAAAGUCCACUAUCUCUCCCAUCACACCAACUACGUUGUCAAGUCCUCUAUCGCGUCAAACAAAUCGAUAAGUUGUUCGAUCUUUGCAUUUUCGUCGUCUCCUUCUCCAUCCGCCUCAAGUGAGCCGGUCGAGACAAGCCUUUCCCUUCCAGCCACUCUUCUCGUACGUGCAACUUCAUCAUUGUUCGAGUCAUGCAUCUCUCCUCUUCGUGAGCCAAGUCCCUUCACCCGAGCCAUUUUCAAGUCGCCUCCCUUGUAUGUGAGUCGAUUGCCUUUCUCCUAGCCGAGUCGCAUCCCUUCUCCAAGUCAAGUUGCAUAUUUGGUAUCUUUUUAGCCAUUUGGGGGCAAAAUAAAGAUAGAGAAAAAGUUGGCAACCAACAGAAAGGAUUUGUGACAUGUCAUAUGGGGACACAGCUUUGCUUCAGCUUUUCAUGGAGGCAAACCUUCGUUAUAAAAAUUCGGGGAUAAUAUUUCUGAAAAGAUACACAAACAGAUGAGCAAUUGGAAAUAUUCUUAUAUAUCUAAAGGUGGCAAAAUUACUCUCAUCAACCUUCCCACCUACAUCAACUUUCGGUCUUCAAAGCUGCUCCUAUUGCUACUUACAAGACCAUUGAAAGACACUGGCAUAAUUUAACUCUUUGGAAAAAUCCCAAUUAGAAGAGACAUCUCAUGAGGUGGUCUGUCAUCACUACUUCUCCAAAAGAAAAAGGGGGCUUGGGUUAACAGAUUGGUCGAUACCAAUUUGGAGGUUCUAUUCUGAACAAAAUCCUCUCUGGAAAAGGAUGAUCUUAGCUGAAUACAACCAAUCCUUCAUUGGAAAAAUUCCCACCUAUGAAAAAUAUAGUAGCUCGAAAGCCCCAUGGAAAUCAUAAAAGGAUGGAUUGGUUCCUUGUUCACGUGAGAUGGAAAAUCAACAAUGGUGAAAAUCUCUCAUUUUGGAAAAGUGCAUAGAAUGAAAAAAGCUCUCUCUCCAUAUACAGACCAAGAUUGUUCCCGCUUUCAAAAGUUCAAAAUAGAUCAGUCAAAGACGCUUGGAACCAAAACACAUCAGAAUGGGACUUUCAGCCUCGGAGACCACUUCGAAACUUUGAAUCCCAACAAUGGGACGAUUUAAAAUCCUACUUUUCACUACUCCUUGUGACAAUAGAUCAGGCCCUAAUACUCCGAUAUGGCAUUUAAAAAAUGAUGGCAAAUUUAGCAUUGUUUCUGUGAAAAAAAACUAUACAUUGCCAGGAACUAAAUGGAUGAGACAUCUGUCAAAACCCAAAUUUUUUUAGCAAUCUCUGGAAAUCAAACAUCCCCAAAAAUGCAGGUUCUUAAUUUAUCUUGACCCUUAUACAUAGAUGCAUCAAAUAAUGCUCAUCUGAAUCCAAACUGGUGCAUUCUAUAAAACACACUAUGAAGAUAUUGACCACAUCUUCAUUUCUUGCUAUGCUACUCAGAAAUUUUGGACUAAAUCGGAGAACCUAUUGAGCUGGAAAAAUUAUGAUCAUCAGAACAUUGCUUCCCUCUAUAAUGAACUCUGCUCCAUCAACCAAAAGAAUCGAAGUGGCAUCAUCAAAUUCAAUACUAUUUCACCGGUCCUUUAGUCCAUUGGCUGGAAAGAAAUAACUGAAUCUUCAAAGACAAGAAAUAAUUGAUUAUUGAUCUGACAUUUGUGGGCUCACGGGAUAGUGGACUAGCAGAUCUAUCAUCUUCGCCAAGUACGGUUCAAGCUUAAUUGCUUUAUAUCUUCGUGCAAGUUUAACUUUUCUCAUUGGAGCUUAUCUCUAGCCUCUUUUUAUUUUCUCCUUUGUUUCGAUGUACUUGUUUUCUUAUCAUUAAUGAAGUGAAGUUGAUGGGGUGCGUCACCUAGUGAGAAACAUAUUUUAAAAAAUGUAAUAUAUGAGAACAAACAUCAUUCAAAACU
Long non-coding RNA from Cucumis sativus (cucumber), 1938 nucleotides. RefSeq lists it as uncharacterized. NCBI's taxonomy places the organism in Eukaryota, Viridiplantae, Streptophyta, Magnoliopsida, Cucurbitales, Cucurbitaceae. The transcript is spliced from 3 exons. The record is from RefSeq and is a predicted model, not a curated record.